GUUAUUUUAAUAAAAAAUGAUUUCUGCUCGGUGAUUUUUAACAGCCGCGGUAAUUKGACCGUGCAAAGGUAGCAUAAUCAUUUGCUUCAUAAUUGGGGGCUAGCAUGAAUGGAAUUACAAGAUGUAAGCUUUAUUAAGAAGAAGAUAAGAAUUUGCUUUUUUAGUGAAGAAGCUAAAGUAAAUUUAAAAGACAAGAAGACCCUUUUGAGCUUUAUUAUUUUUUUAAAUUUUUUUUAUUAGAUAAUUUGGUUGGGGCGACCGAGGAAGAAAAAAUCUUCCUUUUUAUGAUUUUGAUCCAUGGAUUUUGAUUAAUAGAUUAAGUUACCAAAGGGAUAACAGCGUUAUUUUUUUUAAGAGUUCUUAUUAAAAAAAAAGAUUGCGACCUCGAUGUUGACUUAUAAUUUCCUUUUGGUGUAGCCGCUAAUAGGGUAGGUCUGUUCGACCUUUAAAAUUUUACGUGAGUUGAGUUCAGACC
RNAcentral lists this ribosomal RNA (475 nucleotides) under Monostilifera sp. Hoplo_CB162_MCB011_18_01. RNAcentral's name for it is "partial 16S ribosomal RNA". Lineage: Eukaryota; Metazoa; Nemertea; Enopla; Monostilifera. The record is from RNAcentral.